RNAcentral lists this ribosomal RNA (351 nucleotides) under uncultured Coriobacteriales bacterium. RNAcentral's name for it is "bacterial SSU rRNA". It matches the Rfam family "Bacterial small subunit ribosomal RNA", at positions 8 to 339 of the family's 1533-position model. The record is from RNAcentral. Lineage: Bacteria; Bacillati; Actinomycetota; Coriobacteriia; Coriobacteriales.
AGAGUUUGAUCAUGGCUCGAGGACGAACGCUGGCGGCGUGCUUAACACAUGCAAGUCGAACGAGGUGAUAUUGCGGAAGGCUUCGGCCGGAAGCGAUAUGACCGAGUGGCGGACGGGUGAGUAACGCGUGAGCAACCUGUCUUACACAGGGGGAUAACGCUCCGAAAGGAGUGCUAAUACCGCAUAAGACCACGGUAUCGCAUGAUACUGAGGUAAAAGGAGAGAUCCGGUGUAAGGUGGGCUCGCGUCCCAUUAGAUAGUUGGUGAGGUAACGGCUCACCAAGUCGACGAUGGGUAGCCGACCUGAGAGGGUGAUCGGCCACAUUGGAACUGAGAUACGGUCCAGACUCC